UAGGGAGUCUUCCGCAAUGGACGAAAGUCUGACGGAGCAACGCCGCGUGAGUGAUGAAGGUUUUCGGAUCGUAAAGCUCUGUUGUUAGGGAAGAACAAGUACCGUUCGAAUAGGGCGGUACCUUGACGGUACCUAACCAGAAAGCCACGGCUAACUACGUGCCAGCAGCCGCGGUAAUACGUAGGUGGCAAGCGUUGUCCGGAAUUAUUGGGCGUAAAGGGCUCGCAGGCGGUUUCUUAAGUCUGAUGUGAAAGCCCCCGGCUCAACCGGGGAGGGUCAUUGGAAACUGGGGAACUUGAGUGCAGAAGAGGAGAGUGGAAUUCCCGGUGUAGCAGUGAAAUGCGUAGAGAUCGGGAGGAACAUCUGUGGCGAAGGCGACUACCUGGACCAGCACUGACACUGAGGCACGAAAGCGUGGGGAGCAAACA
RNAcentral lists this ribosomal RNA (428 nucleotides) under uncultured prokaryote. RNAcentral's name for it is "bacterial SSU rRNA". It matches the Rfam family "Bacterial small subunit ribosomal RNA", at positions 355 to 774 of the family's 1533-position model. The record is from RNAcentral.